RNAcentral lists this ribosomal RNA (109 nucleotides) under uncultured eukaryote. Its description in RNAcentral is "partial small subunit ribosomal RNA". It matches the Rfam family "Eukaryotic small subunit ribosomal RNA", at positions 1676 to 1785 of the family's 1831-position model. The record is from RNAcentral.
UCGGUACUACCGAUUGAAUGGCUUAGUGAGAUCUUCGGAUUGCCUCUUUUGGCCGCAAGGCUGAAAAUCGGCGAAAAGUUGCUCAAACUUGGUCAUUUAGAGGAAGUAA